RNAcentral lists this ribosomal RNA (484 nucleotides) under uncultured bacterium. RNAcentral's name for it is "partial 16S ribosomal RNA". It matches the Rfam family "Bacterial small subunit ribosomal RNA", at positions 30 to 507 of the family's 1533-position model. The record is from RNAcentral.
AUUGAACGCUGGCGGCAGGCCUAACACAUGCAAGUCGAGCGGAUGAAGGGAGCUUGCUCCUGGAUUCAGCGGCGGACGGGUGAGUAAUGCCUAGGAAUCUGCCUGUUAGUGGGGGAUAACGUCCGGAAACGGGCGCUAAUACCGCAUACGUCCUGAGGGAGAAAGUGGGGGAUCUUCGGACCUCACGCUAUCAGAUGAUCCUAGGUCGGAUUAGCUAGUUGGUGGGGUAAAGGCCUACCAAGGCGACGAUCCGUAACUGGUCUGAGAGGAUGAUCAGUCACACUGGAACUGAGACACGGUCCAGACUCCUACGGGAGGCAGCAGUGGGGAAUAUUGGACAAUGGGCGAAAGCCUGAUCCAGCCAUGCCGCGUGUGUGAAGAAGGUCUUCGGAUUGUAAAGCACUUUAAGUUGGGAGGAAGGGCAGUAAGUUAAUACCUUGCUGUUUUGACGUUACCAACAGAAUAAGCACCGGCUAACUUCGUG